This 465-nucleotide ribosomal RNA is filed under the name uncultured bacterium. RNAcentral describes it as "SSU rRNA". It matches the Rfam family "Bacterial small subunit ribosomal RNA", at positions 26 to 518 of the family's 1533-position model. The record is from RNAcentral.
AGGAUUAACGCUGGCGGCGUGCCUAACACAUGCAAGUCGAACGAGGUAGCAAUACCUAGUGGCAGACGGGUGAGUAACGCGUGGUCAACCUACCGUUGAGUGGGGGAUAACUAGCCGAAAGGUUAGCUAAUACCGCAUACGUCUCCGAGGGGCAUCCCUUGGCGAUAAAAGGAGCAAUCCGCUCGAUGACGGGACCGCGUCCCAUUAGCUAGAUGGUGGGGUAACGGCCUACCAUGGCACCGAUGGGUAGCUGGUUUGAGAGAGCGACCAGCCACACUGGGACUGAGAAACGGCCCAGACUCCUACGGGAGGCAGCAGUGAGGAAUUUUCCGCAAUGGGCGCAAGCCUGACGGAGCGACGCCGCGUGUGGGAAGAAGGCCUUCGGGGUCGUAAACCACUGUCGAAGGGGACGAUAAUGACGGUACCCUUGGAGGAAGCCCCGGCUAACUACGCGCCAGCAGCCGC